RNAcentral lists this unclassified non-coding RNA (320 nucleotides) under plant metagenome. RNAcentral describes it as "partial contains 5.8S ribosomal RNA, internal transcribed spacer 2, and large subunit ribosomal RNA". The stretch from base 1 to 105 matches the Rfam family "5.8S ribosomal RNA", at positions 50 to 154 of the family's 154-position model. The record is from RNAcentral.
GAAAUGCGAUAAGUAAUGUGAAUUGCAGAAUUCAGUGAAUCAUCGAAUCUUUGAACGCACAUUGCGCCCGCCAGUAUUCUGGCGGGCAUGCCUGUUCGAGCGUCAUUACAACCCUCAGGCCCCCGGGCCUGGCGUUGGGGAUCGGCGGAAGCCCCCUGCGGGCACAACGCCGUCCCCCAAAUACAGUGGCGGUCCCGCCGCAGCUUCCAUUGCGUAGUAGCUAACACCUCGCAACUGGAGAGCGGCGCGGCCACGCCGUAAAACACCCAACUUCUGAAUGUUGACCUCGAAUCAGGUAGGAAUACACGCUGAACUUAAGC